RNAcentral lists this ribosomal RNA (262 nucleotides) under uncultured bacterium. Its description in RNAcentral is "partial 16S ribosomal RNA". It matches the Rfam family "Bacterial small subunit ribosomal RNA", at positions 57 to 305 of the family's 1533-position model. The record is from RNAcentral.
GCAAGUCGAACGAGAAAGCCACUUCGGUGGUUAUUAGAGUGGCGCACGGGUGAGUAACACGUAGGUGACCUGCCCUUUGAUGGGGAAUAACUCUUAGAAAUGAGAGCUAAUACCGCAUAAGAUCGCUAAUUUUGAAAGUAAGCGAUGAAAGAUUGCCUCUAUACUAUGCAAUCGUCGAAGGAUGGGCCUGCGCGAUAUUAGUUUGUUGGUGGGGUAAUGGCUUACCAAGACUACGAUAUCUAGCCGGUUUGAGAGAAUGAUC